RNAcentral lists this ribosomal RNA (438 nucleotides) under uncultured bacterium. RNAcentral's name for it is "bacterial SSU rRNA". It matches the Rfam family "Bacterial small subunit ribosomal RNA", at positions 29 to 514 of the family's 1533-position model. The record is from RNAcentral.
AGCGAACGCUGGCGGCAGGCCUAACACAUGCAAGUCGAACGGAUCCUUCGGGAUUAGUGGCGGACGGGUGAGGAACACGUGGGAACGUGCCUUUUGGUUCGGAACAACUCAGGGAAACUUGAGCUAAUACCGGACAAGCCCUUCGGGGGAAGAUUUAUCGCCAUUAGAGCGGCCCGCGUCUGAUUAGCUAGUUGGUGAGGUAAAGGCUCACCAAGGCUACGAUCAGUAGCUGGUCUGAGAGGAUGAUCAGCCACACUGGGACUGAGACACGGCCCAGACUCCUACGGGAGGCAGCAGUGGGGAAUCUUGCGCAAUGGGCGAAAGCCUGACGCAGCCAUGCCGCGUGAAUGAUGAAGGUCUUAGAUUGUAAAGUCCUUUCGGCGGGGACGAUGAUGACGGUACCCGCAGAGAAGCCCCCGGCUAACUUCGUGCCAGCCG